Non-coding RNA from Drosophila melanogaster (fruit fly), 986 nucleotides. The record is from Ensembl. NCBI's taxonomy places the organism in Eukaryota, Metazoa, Arthropoda, Insecta, Diptera, Drosophilidae.
UGUUGGCAUCGAUUUUCCAUGCUGCUCCGUGGAGUCUCUGGCAUGGCGAACAGGAUUUCCUCUUCUGCCCCGCCGGCCGUGUAGAUACAGAUACGAAUGCUGAAAGGCAGCCUCCUGCGGCGGUCACCCAUUCAGUUUCAUUCAGCUGCACACUCGAUCAACCAGCUAGUUUGAAAAAGCCACAGUCUGGAGCAAGAAAAUGUGAAUAUGCCAGAUGGACUUUGUUUUGACUGUUCAGAGAUGGCAAAGCUAUCACAAUGCCUACACAGCGACUCAAACCCCCAAACACCCCUUUUCGAUCUGAGGUCCUGGCGAGGGAUCAUGAAUCAGGCGAGUGGCCAUAAUUCAGCCGGCAGAUAAAGCUAUUACCGCCAUUCCGGAUAAGUGCGCAGUCGGCGCAGAACGCUAGCGCUCCAAGCGGCGCUGUCCCCGUUAGAUUAGAAUUUAAAUCCGGUGGCAGGGCCCAACCACCCACCAAUCCACCCACCAACCACACACCACCCACCCAGCAACCCUGCUCUCGCAAAAGAGCGAGUACAAAGGACGCGACUCGCUAGGCCAUUAAGGAUAUCACCCCGAAUGGCCGGGAACUCCGGUUUCAGCCGUCCUGGAUGGGGCAUCGUUCCAGGCGGGUGGUUUUGCCCAUGGUGCUCCUUGUGCUCCCCGUUUCCUGGACAGCGCAGCUUAAUACAAACAUUGAAUAAAUCUCAUUGCGGCGUUUAUUUUAAUUUCUACGUAAACAUAAACUACGAGCGCCAAGGGAGCGGUCGUCCUUUUCGCGAGAUGGUGAUUUCACGCAGCAGGAUACACAGACAGGACACCGGGACACCAGCUCGUUCAGUGGAAUUUAUGCCAUUAUAUAUUCCAAUAUACCGAGCAUUUAUAAUUUCUCAUUUUAAUACGUACGAGUUAAGCUUUUAAUUAAACGCUGAUAUGAAGUACAUUGAAAUUUAUUUUGAAUCAAGACUUUAAAAAUAUAUAUUGUC